Caenorhabditis elegans is the source of this 140-nucleotide non-coding RNA. The record is from Ensembl. NCBI's taxonomy places the organism in Eukaryota, Metazoa, Nematoda, Chromadorea, Rhabditida, Rhabditidae.
UUGAAAAAAACAUAAAAGUGCGCCUCGUUCUAAAAUUUGAAAAUAUCCAGAUUCUGAUAUCUUUUUCUGAGAAUUUGGAAACAAUUUUUCAAAAACAACAUUAUAAGUUCACUAAAGAAGUUAAGUGAUCUGAAAAAAAU